This 428-nucleotide ribosomal RNA is filed under the name uncultured archaeon. Its description in RNAcentral is "bacterial SSU rRNA". It matches the Rfam family "Archaeal small subunit ribosomal RNA", at positions 474 to 903 of the family's 1478-position model. The record is from RNAcentral.
UACCAGCUCUCCGAGUGGUGUGGAUGUUUAUUGGGCCUAAAGCAUCCGUAGCUGGCUGGACAAGUCCCCUGUUAAAUCCACCGAUUUAAUCGUUGGAGUGCGGGGGAUACUGUUCGGCUAGGGGACGGGAGAGGCAGACGGUAUUUUCGGGGUAGGGGUGAAAUCCUAUAAUCCCGGGAAGACCACCAGUGGCGAAGGCUGUCUGCUAGAACGCGCCCGACGGUGAGGGAUGAAAGCUGGGGGAGCGAACCGGAUUAGAUACCCGGGUAGUCCCAGCUGUAAACGAUGCAGGCUAGGUGUUUGGGCGGCCACGUGCCGCUCUAGUGCCGCAGGAAAGCCGUUAAGCCUGCCGCCUGGGGAGUACGGCCGCAAGGCUGAAACUUAAGGGAAUUGGCGGGGAGCACCACAAGGGGUGAAGCUUGCGGUUU